AUUGAACGCUGGCGGCAGGCUUAACACAUGCAAGUCGGACGGUAACAGGGAGGAAGCUUGCUUUCUUUGCUGACGAGUGGCGGACGGGUGAGUAAUGCUUGGGAAUCUGUUUUAUGGAGGGGGAUAACUACGGGAAACUGUAGCUAAUACCGCGUAAUAUCGAGAGAUUAAAGUGUGGGACCGUAAGGCCACAUGCCAUAGAGUGAGCCCAAGUGGGAUUAGGUAGUUGGUGGGGUAAAGGCCUACCAAGCCGUCGAUCUCUAGCUGGUCUGAGAGGAUGACCAGCCACACUGGGACUGAGACACGGCCCAGACUCCUACGGGAGGCAGCAGUGGGGAAUAUUGCACAAUGGGCGCAAGCCUGAUGCAGCCAUGCCGCGUGAAUGAAGAAGGCCUUCGGGUUGUAAAGUUCUUUCGGUGGUGAGGAAGGUUGUAAUGUUAAUAGCAUUAUAAUUUGACGUUAGCCACAGAAGAAGCACCGGCUAACUCCGUGCCAGCAGCCGCGGUAAUACGGAGGGUGCGAGCGUUAAUCGGAAUAACUGGGCGUAAAGGGCACGCAGGCGGAUACUUAAGUGAGGUGUGAAAGCCCUGGGCUUAACCUAGGAAUUGCAUUUCACACUGGGUAUCUAGAGUAUUUUAGGGAGGGGUAGAAUUCCACGUGUAGCGGUGAAAUGCGUAGAGAUGUGGAGGAAUACCGAAGGCGAAGGCAGCCCCUUGGGGGAAUACUGACGCUCAUGUGCGAAAGCGUGGGGAGCAAACAGG
Molecule: ribosomal RNA, 761 nt
Filed under: uncultured bacterium
Lineage: Bacteria
Description: bacterial SSU rRNA
Rfam family: Bacterial small subunit ribosomal RNA
Source: RNAcentral